RNAcentral lists this transfer RNA (82 nucleotides) under Jakoba libera. RNAcentral's name for it is "tRNA-Leu". It matches the Rfam family "tRNA". Rfam says of the family: Transfer RNA (tRNA) molecules are approximately 80 nucleotides in length. Their secondary structure includes four short double-helical elements and three loops (D, anti-codon, and T loops). Further hydrogen bonds mediate the characteristic L-shaped molecular structure. tRNAs have two regions of fundamental functional importance: the anti-codon, which is responsible for specific mRNA codon recognition, and the 3' end, to which the tRNAs corresponding amino acid is attached (by aminoacyl-tRNA synthetases). tRNAs cope with the degeneracy of the genetic code in two manners: having more than one tRNA (with a specific anti-codon) for a particular amino acid; and 'wobble' base-pairing, i.e. permitting non-standard base-pairing at the 3rd anti-codon position. The record is from RNAcentral. Lineage: Eukaryota; Jakobea; Jakobida; Jakobidae.
GCCGGAAUGGAGAAAUUGGCAGACUCGUUGGUUUUAGGAACCAAUAUCUUACGAUAUGUGGGUUCAAGUCCCACUUCCGGUA